Molecule: long non-coding RNA, 1349 nt
Organism: Lutra lutra (Eurasian river otter)
Lineage: Eukaryota; Metazoa; Chordata; Mammalia; Carnivora; Mustelidae
Exons: 3
Source: RefSeq, a predicted model, not a curated record
UAGGAGGCCCCCGGAGUGGUCAGAUUACAGAGACAGAAGAAAACCCAGCUGGUGCCUUAGAAGGACUUCCUCAGAGCCCACCAAGGCUGGGCUGAACAAGUCCCACCUCCUGGACCCAGAGAGGGGUUCCUCGACCCCCGAGACCCCGCCACCAAAGGCUAGCGUGUAACUGUAAUUAAGUUCCUACAUGACCAUUGCAGAGAAUCUGGAAAAGGACUGAAAAGAACUGAAAGAAACGAAGUCACCAGAAAUCCUUCCCUUUGGUGGAAAUGCCUUGGCCAGCUGCUCUGUGUGCAGGGAGGACAGUUUCUCUUCAUUUGCUACUUCACAUGCUUUGAUAAUCAUCAACGUCCCGGGUAAUUAGUUCAUUUGGAAUCAGGGAACUUGGCAAAUGGGAGGUGACCUCGGAGCUCCGAAGCCAGGGACUGACAUGCAAGCCAGAUCAUCCUGUAGAAAGAGGCUCAGCCCACACCCCAAAAUACCACUCCACUUCCACAGCCCCCUAAAGGCGCCUCCCAGCCUUAAAAAAUUUAUACGUAGACCCAGAAAUUUCACUAACGAGAGUCUCUCCUAAGGAAAGAAUUCUAAAUAUAGAAAAAAUGCUCCAGCACAAAGGGAUCAGAGCGGCUUUCUCUGGAAGAGUGGCUAAUUAGAGACAACCUAAUUGUCCAACGACGGGGGACCAGCGUCCGUGUGACAGCGAACCACAUCGUUAGCCUGACGAGCCGGGAAGGACACAGGAUCCUGUUAUCGUCAGGAUCCUGCUUUUCACUCACAAGUGGGAUGAGCGCAGCCAAAGGACAUUUUUUAAAAGCACGGAAUGGGGACUCCAAGGACAUUAACUAAAAUAUCAACAGAAGCUCGCGGCGCCUGCCGAAAAUGUGGGCCACUGCUCUUCCCCUUUGCUCUACUUCUCUGAAAUCAUCCGAUUUUCUGGGAUAAACAUACUAGAAAAGUUUACCUUGAAUUGAACUGGUUGUAUUCAGUAACUGGGGUGUCAAAGUAACCCAGUCCUUUGUGCGAGAGUGUGAGUGCGAGGGUACGUGCCCACAAUAGUAGUGUGAGGGUGUGAAUGGGAAUGUGUAAGCGCGUGGGUGUGAAGCAUGGCGGGGGGGGUGGGUGUGAGUGCUGGUGUGAACACAUGGAGUGUGACCGCUGGGGGUGCGGGCGUGCACCGUGACUAUGACGCAGGUAUGCGAGGGUAUGUGUGCAGCAAUGUGUGUGAGCGUGUGUGAACAUGUGUACAAUGUGGGGAUUAUCUGUGUGCGAGAGGCCGUGUGCGAGCCAGUGAGUGCGUGCUCGUGUGUGUGUGUGUGUGUGUGUGUGUGUAUGUCCGUGUGAAUCCGAGC